This 1438-nucleotide long non-coding RNA is filed under the name Vitis vinifera (wine grape). Its description in RNAcentral is "long non-coding RNA (VVIN_LNC005421)". The record is from RNAcentral. Lineage: Eukaryota; Viridiplantae; Streptophyta; Magnoliopsida; Vitales; Vitaceae.
UUUUAUGUGUUUGAGUGAUCCUACAGAGCCUGCAUUUCCAAAUGGGUGUGCUCAGUGCCCUUGGCAGAGGAUGGUGCAGCAUCCUGCUGGUUGUUCUCUUCGGAAUUCAUCUCUUGAACAGGGGGAGGGUUGACAAUGGUCAUCGGCAUGACGAGGUCUUCUGAGAGGCGUCCCUUCAUCUCCCUGUGCUCUUGGCAUAACGCACACCAGUGCAUGCAGCAGUGGACCAUGCAGGGGUCGCAUGGGGAAUUCUGCGAAUUCAGCAAAAGGUGUAUGUCAUUAAACAGCCGAGAACAAAUGAAGAAAUUGGUAUCUGUUCUUCAAAACCCAGAAUCCAAACCAUUUAACAGCACAAAAUACAAAAGGCCAAAUGCAGAUUGCAAUCUGGAGCCCCUCAUUCUGAUUCUUCAAGAAUGAAUCCUUUAACAGGUUCCCAUAUGUUUCAGUACAUUCAAUAAUGUUCAUCAAUUUGAUUCUAUCAAAUAAGAUGCUGCAAGUUUUGGUUUUGGACACAUAACAAGGUAAUAUCUUCCAAGAUAAGAUAUGGCAUUCCAGAUGGUGUAGCAAAAUUUUUGCUGUUCCACACAGAGGCAAAUGUUAAUACUUUUCAGCUGUUCUCAUGACAUCCUCUGUAAACACUGGAGUUUCCUAAAAUGAGCAAUUGCCAUUUGUCCUCUUACCUUUUGAGAAUGGGUUAUUCCACAAAUUAGUUUUACCACAUCUGUGAUGGAUGGAAACAGUGAUCAUGCAACUGUUAGGCCUUGAUGGUUUUCAUUACAAAACUAACAGGAUUAGGGAUCAUGGAUGGUUCUAAAACAUGCAUCAUGAAAAAGAACAUAAUCAUAGAAUCAAAAUUCAAGACCAGAUGCUUUCAGGAGAUUGUAGGUACUCCAAUAGCAGAAAUACCAUCGAACAUUUUCAGCUAAGAGCCACCCUUAAGCAUGACUUUUUAUUUUCCCCAGUCUCAAUAUGUAAUUCACUAAAGACUAUGGUUGUUUUAACAAUGGAGAGGCCAGAAUUGCCCAAAUUCAAAACAAUGCAAAGAGCUUUGACUGCCCAAAGAGACAAGGGUUGGUUUCUAGAAAAAUCCUUUUCCUUUUGAGUAAGCAAAGUUGGAGAUUCAGUGCAUGACAUGUUUUAUAGAAAUAAAAAUAUUUCAUGAUUUUGUUCUUCAGUGAAAAGAAUCAAUUAGCAUGUCUUUCUGUAUAUACUGCAUGUGGUUAAAUGUAAGCCAUAUGAUUGUCUGAUAAGUGCCUUUUAAGUGAAAAAUUAUUAUAUUUCAGGGACCUCGUGACACAGGGAAAUCAGGAUCACCUGGAGAUGAUAUUUCUUCUGUAGUGAUUGCCGAACUAGACCAGUGUAUAUGCCACACAUCCACCAAGCAAACAACAGACCCUCACAGAUGAGAAAUGAUGUCCUUGGAUCGAUACCAUGGAAG